Long non-coding RNA from Salvia splendens (bonfire salvia), 808 nucleotides. RefSeq lists it as uncharacterized. Lineage: Eukaryota; Viridiplantae; Streptophyta; Magnoliopsida; Lamiales; Lamiaceae. The transcript has 3 exons. The record is from RefSeq and is a predicted model, not a curated record.
CAGGGCCAUCGAAAUUCCAUGGCUUCUUCUCUUCGGAUGUUCAGUCCUUUUCGAUAAGCGUUUUCGGAGUAACUCUUACCAGCCUCAUCGACAUGCUUCGUGAGAACCGGAAGCCAAAAAGGAUUGUAGGCACAUUGUCUAGAUUAGCAGUUCCUUCUUUGAUCCUCCACUACAACAUAUACCACCAUGUUCUCCAGAUGAGAAGAAACCAUUCGUUACUCCUAAUUACAUAAAGAAGCCAGCACAAUACACCUAAACUUCUUAAGGCAAGUAAUAGGGUCUUUGUCUACUUUAGUUCACUUGAUACUUUUUCUAUUUUUCCUUGUUCUGACAGUAUUUUGAGAGCUAAUCUACUCACACCCACAAUUAGAUAUGCAGUGGCAUUGUGCUGUCAAUACAAUCUGCCUCGUCAGGUAUUGGAUAUAGGCCUCCUUACCCUUGGACAAUGGGAAUUCUUGGUUUCUUGCUGAGAUUUAUGCAAUGCUGAACAUGAAGAUGAUCCUCAAAUUUUAGAUUGAGGUAAUUCUAUAUUAUUUGGUUGCUUCAGUUUUCUAUUUUUAUUCAAUGGUACUAUUGGAGGUUGAUUUUGUAAUCACGAUAAUAGUAUGCUACACCUAGCCCUCAUUCAUACGGAACUUUGACCGGGGAUGACAAGUGAGUUAGCUUAGGAUAUUCUGACCAGCUUCCUUAUGCUCAAGGCCUUUUACAAGGACAAUCAGAAUAUGCAGUUAGUCAAGUCUCUCCACAUCCAUCACACUUGUAUUAAAUACUUACUAACGAUCUAUUACUUUUGCAACAAACUUUUGUA